UCCUCAACAUGAAAAGGACAUGGAGCUGUUGGAACAAGUCCAGAGGAGGCCACAGGGAUGAUCAGGGACUGGAGCACCUCCUGUAUGAAGACAGGCUGAGAAAGUUGGGGCUGUUCAGCCUGGAGAAGAGAAGGCUGCGUGGAGACCUCAGAGCAGCUUCCAGUAUCUGAAGGGGGCCUACAAGGAUACUGGAGGGGGAUUCUUCAUCACAGACUGUAGUGAUAGGACAAUGGGUGAUGGGUUCAAACUGAAACGGGAUGUUCAGGUUGGAUAUAAGGAAGAACUCUUUACUGUGAGGGUGGUGAGGCACUGGCAAAGGCUGCCCGAAGAAGUCGUAAAUGCUCCAUCCCUGGCAGUGUUCAAGGCCAGGUUGGACAGAGCUUUUGGGUGAUAGGAUCUAGUGUAAGAUGUCUCUGCCUAUGGCAGAACGGUUGGAACUGGAUGAUCUUAAGGUCCUUUCCAACCCUUGGAACCCAAUUGUAUGAUUUUAUGUUCAAACAAGGGUGUGUGUUGAGGCUAAAGAUCUACCAGUGUUUUAAACUUAAUCUGGCCAAACCAAGCCUGCCAAACUUCACACUUGUUAGUAGAACUGCACAAGCUAGAAAACUCAAGACUCAUGCCAUGGAUUGCCUUCCCUUCAGUGUUACGACCUGCAUGCCCUAACCUUCCCUGUUCACCUGCCUGAAGCAGGACACACACACAUUCCAUGAUGUUGCAACCACUCCUGUUUUACGUUUCCACAGGUACUCACAGAGCAGCAGCACCAGAGAUGAUCUCAAUAAGCUCCUUGGUAAUGACGGCUUGGCGGGUACGGUUGAAAGUCAAGGUCAGUUUGUCAAUCAUUUCAGCUAGGAAAAAUCAAGAUUGGGAUUUAAGGAUGCAGUAACUAUUUAAAUACAGAUAGGGAGAAGGUGUAUGAAGGUGUUAUGAAGUAGUCUUAUAAAUCCAUGAAGGCAGUGAAGAGGCUUACUGCACUUUUCAUUUUUUCUCCUAUAGAUAACACUCAAUUUAGAAACUUGGCAAUUUGGCUUGAAACAUCAGAGUUAAACAUCUGAAGAAUAUCUGAUGGAUAGUAAACACCAUGGUAUGACACAGCUUAUUUUAACAUAAGCAUGCAUUAUUUGCCUUUAAAUUAGAUUUUACUGUCAAUUAACUACAUUGGGAUUUCCUUCAAGUUACUGUGGCUUUGGCAAAAGGAAACAGAUCUUUCUGAAGUGUUAUUUCUGCAUUUGUUUUUCUUGUAAACACAGGAGAUAUCACCUCUCUGUCAAGAUAAGGCUGUCAGCAGAGAGCCACACAUACAGUUCCAGAUAGCCCAACUGCUCAUCACACCAGCUCCGCUUGGUCAUGAGUGUCCUUCAGGCAACACUGCCCUUCUUAAAGCUGAAAUCUUCUCACAGCAUGCCACAUUAAAAGCUGUCUCCCACUAAUACCAAAUGCAUACACCAUGCUGCACCCAGCCUGGACACCUUCCAAGGAAUACUUGUGAGAAGGACACAGAGCUGUUGGAGCAAGUCUAGAGGAAGCCAUGAGGAUGAUCAGGGGCUGGAGCACCUCCCGUAUGGAGACAGGCUGAGAACAUUGGCACUGUUCAGCCUCGAGAAGAGAAGCGGUGUGAAGACCUCAGAGCAGCCUUCCAGCAUCUGAAGGGGGCCUACAAGGAUGCUCGCUCAAAGACUGACUCAAAAUGGAACUGAGAGAAGAAACCAGCUAGUUUCUUACUAUUUUGUACGCAAAGAAUUAUACAAAAGGAGGUCAGUACUCUCAUGCCAAACUCCUGAAGUCGUGGGAGACCCAUAGUGUGGACUUACAAGCAUUCUUGCUAGCGUUGUCCAUAGCAGUCAUCCUAGCACUCUGCUCGCUGGUGGUGGAUUCUUUCAGUGAGUAGUAGAGAAUAUUUGCUAGUGUAAAUUCCUGGUAGUUUCUCAACACAUCAGCAUCAAUAUCAUCAUAGAUACUUAGGCUUUCUGUAAAAUAGGGAAGAGCAGAUUGAAAGCAAGCUGAGAUACACUACUUCUAGCAAAACAAUACAACACCAUGCAAAAGGCUGCUAGGCCAGCCUGCUUCUCUACUUCAGGCAAUCCAGAGGGAUCUUCUCCACACAUUCUGUGUACUUUCAUAUUCUCUUUGCUAUUAAAAUUUUUGUUAAGU
Pezoporus occidentalis (night parrot) is the source of this 2151-nucleotide long non-coding RNA. RefSeq lists it as uncharacterized. Lineage: Eukaryota; Metazoa; Chordata; Aves; Psittaciformes; Psittacidae. The transcript has 2 exons. The record is from RefSeq and is a predicted model, not a curated record.